This 371-nucleotide ribosomal RNA is filed under the name uncultured bacterium. Its description in RNAcentral is "bacterial SSU rRNA". It matches the Rfam family "Bacterial small subunit ribosomal RNA", at positions 527 to 896 of the family's 1533-position model. The record is from RNAcentral.
AGAGGGGGCAAGCGUUGUUCGGAAUUACUGGGCGUAAAGGGCGCGUAGGCGGCCCGCUAAGUCGAACGUGAAAUCCCCGGGCUCAACCCGGGAACUGCGUCCGAUACUGGCAGGCUUGAAUCCGGGAGAGGGAUGCGGAAUUCCAGGUGUAGCGGUGAAAUGCGUAGAUAUCUGGAGGAACACCGGUGGCGAAGGCGGCAUCCUGGACCGGCAUUGACGCUGAGGCGCGAAAGCCAGGGGAGCAAACGGGAUUAGAUACCCCGGUAGUCCUGGCCCUAAACGAUGAAUGCUUGGUGUGGCGGGUAUCGAUCCCUGCCGUGCCGAAGCUAACGCAUUAAGCAUUCCGCCUGGGGAGUACGGUCGCAAGGCUG